RNAcentral lists this ribosomal RNA (131 nucleotides) under Acinetobacter baumannii ABNIH15. RNAcentral describes it as "partial 16S ribosomal RNA". It matches the Rfam family "Bacterial small subunit ribosomal RNA", at positions 1 to 132 of the family's 1533-position model. Lineage: Bacteria; Pseudomonadati; Pseudomonadota; Gammaproteobacteria; Moraxellales; Moraxellaceae. The record is from RNAcentral.
AACUGAAGAGUUUGAUCAUGGCUCAGAUUGAACGCUGGCGGCAGGCUUAACACAUGCAAGUCGAGCGGGGGAAGGUAGCUUGCUACUGGACCUAGCGGCGGACGGGUGAGUAAUGCUUAGGAAUCUGCCUA